This 693-nucleotide ribosomal RNA is filed under the name uncultured Staphylococcus sp. RNAcentral describes it as "bacterial SSU rRNA". It matches the Rfam family "Bacterial small subunit ribosomal RNA", at positions 58 to 733 of the family's 1533-position model. Lineage: Bacteria; Bacillati; Bacillota; Bacilli; Caryophanales; Staphylococcaceae. The record is from RNAcentral.
CAAGUCGAGCGAACGGACGAGAAGCUUGCUUCUCUGAUGUUAGCGGCGGACGGGUGAGUAACACGUGGAUAACCUACCUAUAAGACUGGGAUAACUUCGGGAAACCGGAGCUAAUACCGGAUAAUAUUUUGAACCGCAUGGUUCAAAAGGGAAAGACGGUCUUGCUGUCACUUAUAGAUGGAUCCGCGCUGCAUUAGCUAGUUGGUAAGGUAACGGCUUACCAAGGCAACGAUGCAUAGUCGACCUGAGAGGGUGAUCGGCCACACUGGAACUGAGACACGGUCCAGACUCCUACGGGAGGCAGCAGUAGGGAAUCUUCCGCAAUGGGCGAAAGCCUGACGGAGCAGCGCCGCGUGAGUGAUGAAGGUCUUCGGAUCGUAAAACUCUGUUAUUAGGGAAGAACAUAUGUGUAAGUAACUGUGCACAUCUUGACGGUACCUAAUCAGAAAGCCACGGCUAACUACGUGCCAGCAGCCGCGGUAAUACGUAGGUGGCAAGCGUUAUCCGGAAUUAUUGGGCGUAAAGCGCGCAUAGGCGGUUUUUUAAGUCUGAUGUGAAAGCCCACGGCUCAACCGUGGAGGGUCAUUGGAAACUGGAAAACUUGAGUGCAGAAGAGGAAAGUGGAAUUCCAUGUGUAGCGGUGAAAUGCGCAGAGAUAUGGAGGAACACCAGUGGCGAAGGCGACUUUCUGGU